Molecule: transfer RNA, 82 nt
Filed under: Desmophyllum pertusum
Lineage: Eukaryota; Metazoa; Cnidaria; Anthozoa; Scleractinia; Caryophylliidae
Description: tRNA-Cys
Source: RNAcentral
GCCUGGUUAGCUGAGUUGGUAGGGCACUAGACUGCAGAGCGGGAGGUCGCGGGUUCAAAUCCCGGCUGGACCAAACCAGGGU